Molecule: unclassified non-coding RNA, 649 nt
Filed under: Hevea brasiliensis (rubber tree)
Lineage: Eukaryota; Viridiplantae; Streptophyta; Magnoliopsida; Malpighiales; Euphorbiaceae
Source: RNAcentral
UGCCCAUAUCUCCACAGAAACUUCAUCAUUAGAGUCCCUCUCAAAAUCAUCAAAAGACCCCUUCGAUUUUAUGCACUGUUCUCCCAAAAACUCAACCUUUUUGGCACAUUCAAGUAUUACAUCUGCUUCAGCUGCAGUUCGAAGGCCUGUUUUCCUCAAAAUGCGAAGCCAACCAUCUGUACUAAACCUUUCUCCAGGAAAUCUCUUCCUCUCACCAGAGAAUACAGAAGUUAAUAAAGCAUCACAGGGAUCAAACAGAUCCUUGGGCUUGGAGAGGUCCGUGGAGAAUUCAUCUGCAUUCCUUACAAAUCUAGUCUCCUUCAGAACUUCAAGCAAAGAAGAAUCUGCCUGGAGAUCUUGCCAGUUUGUGUAAAGAUAAAUUAAUAUAUCCUCCUGCUCAGACUGAGGUUUGCCUUCAAAUUCGGGCAACCCAAACCUUAUCAAAAUCUGUGGAUCAUGUAAUUCGGGAACCCCCAGGGCUCGUAAUAGCGAACACUCAAUUGAAUCUGUUGAAUAAGAAAGGCAAUGCUCAUCAAAUGGCUUUAGGAAUGAUUCAGAAGAUAUCAUACACUUAUCUUGACCAAGCAAUUUGCUGUAGGAUCCCUUGACUGUUUUAUAUAUAGGCAAGCAAUGCAAUACUUCAAGCUCC